This 66-nucleotide transfer RNA is filed under the name Hylurgus ligniperda. RNAcentral describes it as "tRNA-Val". Lineage: Eukaryota; Metazoa; Arthropoda; Insecta; Coleoptera; Curculionidae. The record is from RNAcentral.
CGAUUUAAAGCUUAAGAUAAGCAUUUUAUUUACAUUAAAAAGAUUACUUUGAAUAGUAUAAUUCGA